Non-coding RNA from Auriculariales sp. MPI-PUGE-AT-0066, 95 nucleotides. The record is from the annotation of a GenBank genome assembly. NCBI's taxonomy places the organism in Eukaryota, Fungi, Basidiomycota, Agaricomycetes, Auriculariales.
GAAGCCUUAGUUCAGUGGUAGAAUGCAUGAUUCCAGAGAGGUGCUCCGCGUCUUAGGACUCCAUGUGGUCACAGGUUCAAUCCCUGUAGGCUUCA